AGCUCCGGUGGCCUAGUGGUUAGAGCUUCCGCCUAGGACGCGGGAGGUCACGGGUUUGAGCGCCGGCCGAGUCA
Molecule: non-coding RNA, 74 nt
Organism: Potamilus streckersoni
Lineage: Eukaryota; Metazoa; Mollusca; Bivalvia; Unionida; Unionidae
Source: the annotation of a GenBank genome assembly